UACAGGGGGGGCAAGCGUUGUUCGGAAUUACUGGGCGUAAAGGGCUCGUAGGCGGCCAACUAAGUCCGACGUGAAAUCCCAAAGCUUAACUUUGGAACUGCGUCGGAAACUGGCAGGCUUGAAUCCGGGAGAGGGAUGUGGAAUUCCAGGUGUAGCGGUGAAAUGCGUAGAUAUCUGGAGGAACAUCGGUGGCGAAGGCGACAUCCUGGACCGGUAUUGACGCUGAGGCGCGAAAGCCAGGGGAGCAAACGGG
RNAcentral lists this ribosomal RNA (253 nucleotides) under uncultured bacterium. RNAcentral describes it as "partial 16S ribosomal RNA". It matches the Rfam family "Bacterial small subunit ribosomal RNA", at positions 524 to 776 of the family's 1533-position model. The record is from RNAcentral.